AUUGAACGCUGGCGGCAGGCCUAACACAUGCAAGUCGAGCGGAUGAAGGGAGCUUGCUCCUGGAUUCAGCGGCGGACGGGUGAGUAAUGCCUAGGAAUCUGCCUGGUAGUGGGGGAUAACGUCCGGAAACGGGCGCUAAUACCGCAUACGUCCUGAGGGAGAAAGUGGGGGAUCUUCGGACCUCACGCUAUCAGAUGAGCCUAGGUCGGAUUAGCUAGUUGGUGGGGUAAAGGCCUACCAAGGCGACGAUCCGUAACUGGUCUGAGAGGAUGAUCAGUCACACUGGAACUGAGACACGGUCCAGACUCCUACGGGAGGCAGCAGUGGGGAAUAUUGGACAAUGGGCGAAAGCCUGAUCCAGCCAUGCCGCGUGUGUGAAGAAGGUCUUCGGAUUGUAAAGCACUUUAAGUUGGGAGGAAGGGCAGUAAGUUAAUACCUUGCUGUUUUGACGUUAACAACAGAAUAAGCACCGGCUAACCUCGUG
RNAcentral lists this ribosomal RNA (484 nucleotides) under uncultured bacterium. Its description in RNAcentral is "partial 16S ribosomal RNA". It matches the Rfam family "Bacterial small subunit ribosomal RNA", at positions 30 to 507 of the family's 1533-position model. The record is from RNAcentral.